CCUACGGGGGGCAGCAGUGAGGAAUAUUGGUCAAUGGACGAGAGUCUGAACCAGCCAAGUAGCGUGAAGGAUGACUGCCCUAUGGGUUGUAAACUUCUUUUAUAUGGGAAUAAAAUGUUCAACGUGUGCACUUUUGUAUGUACCAUAUGAAUAAGGAUCGGCUAACUCCGUGCCAGCAGCCGCGGUAAUACGGAGGAUCCGAGCGUUAUCCGGAUUUAUUGGGUGUAAGGGGAGCGUAGGUGGGUUGUUAAGUCAGUUGUGAAAGGUUGUGGCUCAACCGUAAAAUUGCAGUUGAAACUGGCAGUCUGGAGUACAGUAGAGGUGGGCGGAAUUCGUGGUGUAGCGGUGAAAUGCGUAGAGAUCGCGAAGAACUCCGAUUGCGAAGGCAGUUCACUGGACUGCCACUGACACUGAGGCUCGAAAGCGUGGGUAUCAAACAGGAUUAGAUACCCCUGUAGUC
This 460-nucleotide ribosomal RNA is filed under the name uncultured bacterium. RNAcentral describes it as "partial 16S ribosomal RNA". It matches the Rfam family "Bacterial small subunit ribosomal RNA", at positions 338 to 795 of the family's 1533-position model. The record is from RNAcentral.